UUGGAGGGCAAGUCUGGUGCCAGCAGCCGCGGUAAUUCCAGCUCCAAUAGCGUAUAUUAAAGUUGUUGCAGUUAAAAAGCUCGUAGUUGAAUUUCGGGAUUAGUGCGCCGGUCGUGCCUUCGGUAUGUACUGGUGUUACUGGUUCCUACCUUCUGACGAACCGUCAUGUCAUUAAUUUGGUGUUGCGGGGAAUCUGGACUGUUACUUUGAAAAAAUUAGAGUGUUUAAAGCAGGCUAACGCUUGAAUACAUUAGCAUGGAAUAAUGAAAUAGGACGUUCGAUCCUAUUCUGUUGGUUUCUAGGAUUGACGUAAUGAUUAAUAGGGAUAGUUGGGGGCAUUAGUAUUCAAUUGUCAGAGGUGAAAUUCUUGGAUUUAUUGAAGACUAACUACUGCGAAAGCAUUUGCCAAGGAUGUUUUCAUUAAUCAAGAACGAAAGUUAGGGGAUCGAAGACGAUCAGAUACCGUCGUAGUCUUAACCAUAAACUAUGCCGACUAGGGAUCGGAUGAUGUUAAUUUUUUAAUGACUCAUUCGGCGCCUUACGGGAAA
RNAcentral lists this ribosomal RNA (548 nucleotides) under uncultured Glomeromycotina. Its description in RNAcentral is "SSU rRNA". It matches the Rfam family "Eukaryotic small subunit ribosomal RNA", at positions 548 to 1097 of the family's 1831-position model. The record is from RNAcentral. Lineage: Eukaryota; Fungi; Glomeromycota.